Molecule: long non-coding RNA, 550 nt
Organism: Drosophila montana
Lineage: Eukaryota; Metazoa; Arthropoda; Insecta; Diptera; Drosophilidae
Exons: 3
Source: RefSeq, a predicted model, not a curated record
GGGAUUCGAUUUACAAAUCUUACUUAAGGAGAGAGAAAACUAACAGGCAACACAUAAAACUAAGCCUCCAGAUUAUUUAUACUCUACCUUUCAAAGCCGCAAGGUAAGGCCAUUAAAAAUUGCAAUGGAAAAACAGAUGCGUUUCAGUGUAAACAAUAACAAAAUUUUUUGGCAUUGGAAAUGGCUGGAAACGUGCUUUGGCAUUUGUUCGUUAUUGUUGUUGUUGCUGAACAGCCUUCACUAAUAAACCGUUAUGCAAUGUGCCAAAGCAGAUAACAAAGCAGAAAGAGCAAGACAACAACAACAACAACAGCAACAACAAAAACAAAAACAACAGCUGCAAACUGUAAUUGAAGCUUUGUCUGGAAAUGAAUGGAAGCCAAGUCGCAUUUGGACUUUGGAGCCGACUCGAACUGAGAGUGGGAAAUUUGAAGUGAAUUAACGGUUAACGAAUUAACUCUUAAAGGGCUAUGUACGUUUUGAGUAACGGUAAACCGGAGAACUUUUUAGGACUAAACGUUAUUUAUGUGGCAUAACCGGAGGAUUAUGG